This 308-nucleotide unclassified non-coding RNA is filed under the name uncultured fungus. RNAcentral describes it as "partial contains small subunit ribosomal RNA, internal transcribed spacer 1, and 5.8S ribosomal RNA". The stretch from base 1 to 73 matches the Rfam family "Eukaryotic small subunit ribosomal RNA", at positions 1759 to 1831 of the family's 1831-position model. The record is from RNAcentral. Lineage: Eukaryota; Fungi.
GCAAACUUGGUCAUUUAGAGGAAGUAAAAGUCGUAACAAGGUCUCCGUUGGUGAACCAGCGGAGGGAUCAUUACCGGGUCUAGCGACUGCCCGAACCAUCACACCGUGAACCGUACCCAACCUUUUGCCUACGCUGCGGCGGGCCGCCCGCUGGAGGGGCCCCGGGGCCGAGAGGCCCGGCCCGCCGGAGCGACCCCUGAAAGGACCUCCUGAAGCACUUCUGAGAGGCGCCGAUCGGCCUUCCUACGAAGGUGAUCACAACCCACAGCAAUGGAUCUCUUGGCUCUGGCAUCGAUGAAGAACGCAGC